UACGGAGGGAGCUAGCGUUGUUCGGAAUUACUGGGCGUAAAGCGCACGUAGGCGGCUUUGUAAGUUAGAGGUGAAAGCCCGGGGCUCAACCCCGGAAUUGCCUUUAAGACUGCAUCGCUUGAAUCCGGGAGAGGUGAGUGGAAUUCCGAGUGUAGAGGUGAAAUUCGUAGAUAUUCGGAAGAACACCCAUGGCGAAGGCAG
This 201-nucleotide ribosomal RNA is filed under the name uncultured bacterium. RNAcentral's name for it is "partial 16S ribosomal RNA". It matches the Rfam family "Bacterial small subunit ribosomal RNA", at positions 524 to 724 of the family's 1533-position model. The record is from RNAcentral.